This 1258-nucleotide ribosomal RNA is filed under the name Microbacterium sp. NSJ-13. RNAcentral describes it as "bacterial SSU rRNA". It matches the Rfam family "Bacterial small subunit ribosomal RNA", at positions 82 to 1352 of the family's 1533-position model. Lineage: Bacteria; Bacillati; Actinomycetota; Actinomycetes; Micrococcales; Microbacteriaceae. The record is from RNAcentral.
GCUGGGUGGAUUAGUGGCGAACGGGUGAGUAACACGUGAGCAACCUGCCCCUGACUCUGGGAUAAGCGCUGGAAACGGCGUCUAAUACUGGAUAUGUCCCGUCACCGCAUGGUGUGCGGGUGGAAAGAUUUUUCGGUUGGGGAUGGGCUCGCGGCCUAUCAGCUUGUUGGUGAGGUAAUGGCUCACCAAGGCGUCGACGGGUAGCCGGCCUGAGAGGGUGACCGGCCACACUGGGACUGAGACACGGCCCAGACUCCUACGGGAGGCAGCAGUGGGGAAUAUUGCACAAUGGGCGGAAGCCUGAUGCAGCAACGCCGCGUGAGGGAUGACGGCCUUCGGGUUGUAAACCUCUUUUAGCAGGGAAGAAGCGAAAGUGACGGUACCUGCAGAAAAAGCACCGGCUAACUACGUGCCAGCAGCCGCGGUAAUACGUAGGGUGCAAGCGUUAUCCGGAAUUAUUGGGCGUAAAGAGCUCGUAGGCGGUCUGUCGCGUCUGCUGUGAAAUUCCGAGGCUCAACCUCGGGCUUGCAGUGGGUACGGGCAGACUAGAGUGCGGUAGGGGAGAUUGGAAUUCCUGGUGUAGCGGUGGAAUGCGCAGAUAUCAGGAGGAACACCGAUGGCGAAGGCAGAUCUCUGGGCCGUAACUGACGCUGAGGAGCGAAAGGGUGGGGAGCAAACAGGCUUAGAUACCCUGGUAGUCCACCCCGUAAACGUUGGGAACUAGUUGUGGGGUCCUUUCCACGGAUUCCGUGACGCAGCUAACGCAUUAAGUUCCCCGCCUGGGGAGUACGGCCGCAAGGCUAAAACUCAAAGGAAUUGACGGGGACCCGCACAAGCGGCGGAGCAUGCGGAUUAAUUCGAUGCAACGCGAAGAACCUUACCAAGGCUUGACAUACACGAGAACGGGCCAGAAAUGGUCAACUCUUUGGACACUCGUGAACAGGUGGUGCAUGGUUGUCGUCAGCUCGUGUCGUGAGAUGUUGGGUUAAGUCCCGCAACGAGCGCAACCCUCGUUCUAUGUUGCCAGCACGUAAUGGUGGGAACUCAUGGGAUACUGCCGGGGUCAACUCGGAGGAAGGUGGGGAUGACGUCAAAUCAUCAUGCCCCUUAUGUCUUGGGCUUCACGCAUGCUACAAUGGCCGGUACAAUGGGCUGCGAUACCGUAAGGUGGAGCGAAUCCCAAAAAGCCGGUCCCAGUUCGGAUUGAGGUCUGCAACUUGACCUCAUGAAGUCGGAGUCGCUAGUAAUCGCAGAUCAG